AUCAAUAAUGCAAAUGAAGAUAAAGAAGAAACCAACAAGAAAAGUGGAAGCCCCGAGUAGGAAGCCAGCAACGCCGACAUAUUUAUUCUGGAGUGAAUAGGUACAAAUUGAAGUUAAAAUUACACUUCUCGACAAGACUUCCUGGCAAUCAAAUCGCUCUAUUCUAAUGGUUAAUAUCCUGUUUUUCAACACUGUAGGAAUGAGAAAGGCCGAUUACAGCGAAGGGAUCAAUGUCGCAGAAGACUGAAAGCUUCGCUUAGCUAUACAAGUCGAGAACUCAAGAGUUGCUAUAAAGUUGAGGAAUCUCUUUACUUGGUGGGCAUUCAUAGCCAAGCCAAAUACAAGUUGAAUCAAUUGCUGCGUGUGAUAGCAGUAGCACAUUUACGUAAUGUUACAAUGCAAAGCACUUUUUUCAGCCAGCUACGGAUAGGCGAAAGAUCGCAGUGUAUGCAAGUCCUUCCUCAUCAUGUGAACAAUAGUUAAUUUAAUCUACAGUCAGUUUUUCAAGACACCACCGAGGAUUCGCCAAUUGAUCUGUUUCUAUGUUAUUUUUUGCAGAAAUUCACAUUUGAAUAUCUUCUUUUUACAUUUUUUUUGGAACUCUGUGAUGUAUUUGGUCUCUGGAAUUCAAUUGAAAUACCUUCCUUCAUUCAUGAUUUAUUGCUUUCGAUUCUGUCAAUAUCUUCAAUUCAAUUCAAAUCCGAAUCCAAUCUAUCAAUUUAGGCUCUUGAAAUAUUAUGUUUGUAAUUGGAAAGCUAUUAUAUACAUACAUAAAAGGCUUUUCGAAGCUACCAAUUUUAUAAAAUAGUUUUUUUUUCAAAAAAAUGUUUCAUGAUUAUCAAAAUCUAUAAUAUCUGCCUAAAAUAUUUUCUUCCUUUACAAUAUUUUACUAUUUCCUAUAACGAAUUUGUAGUCUUAAGAUUAUUACAUCAAGUUCUUGUAAUAUAUUGAAAAAAUACAAAAAU
This is a long non-coding RNA of Eupeodes corollae, 965 nucleotides long. RefSeq lists it as uncharacterized. NCBI's taxonomy places the organism in Eukaryota, Metazoa, Arthropoda, Insecta, Diptera, Syrphidae. The record is from RefSeq and is a predicted model, not a curated record. The transcript has 4 exons.